Molecule: unclassified non-coding RNA, 170 nt
Filed under: uncultured Cochliobolus
Lineage: Eukaryota; Fungi; Ascomycota; Dothideomycetes; Pleosporales; Pleosporaceae
Description: sequence contains ITS1
Source: RNAcentral
CACAACAAAAUAUGAAGGCCUGGCUUCGCGGCCGGCUGAAAUAUUUUUUUCACCCAUGUCUUUUGCGCACUUGUUGUUUCCUGGGCGGGUUCGCCCGCCACCAGGACCAAACCAUAAACCUUUUUUUUAUGCAGUUGCAAUCAGCGUCAGUAAAAACAAUGUAAUUAUUA